RNAcentral lists this long non-coding RNA (490 nucleotides) under Sarcophilus harrisii (Tasmanian devil). RNAcentral's name for it is "lncRNA (ENSSHAG00000027946.1)". The record is from RNAcentral. Lineage: Eukaryota; Metazoa; Chordata; Mammalia; Dasyuromorphia; Dasyuridae.
CGAAAAUGUUAUAUCUUUUGGAGUCAGGAAGCCAGGUCUCACCUCACAGCAAUCUCUAGCAGGAUCAGUUGCUGUUCAGAGAUGUAUUAAUAUCCAAGUUCAAAAGAGACAUAUAAUCGUAUGGAUUUCAAGGAUAAAAGAGUCAUCCAAGUUCAGUGGCAAGACAGAAAUCAGGAAGACUGGUGAUGGCCCAACAUCUUCAAAGUCUGACCAAGAUCUAAAGGCUACUCAGCACCUGAUUCAUCCACUUCCAUAGUCAUCAGAAGAAAUUGUUCCCAUUUUGCUGUGGGAGAAUUCAAAAAUUUAAACACUGAUAGAAACAAGGAAAGAGAGGUCAGCUGAUGUCUUGGCAGGACAGUGGAGAGAGGACAAUUGAAAGCUCAGAGGCUGACUCACCCUGAAACGUCAUUGAGAAGAAUUGCAAAUUCACUGAAGCAUCUAUUGAAACAGAAGAACUGACCACAGUGCAAAUGGUGGAAAAACUUUCAAG